ACGAGUCUUUUGAGGGAAAAUUUACACAAAAAAGAAGCUACAGUAAUUAAAAUUUAGCAACAUAAAUUGAAAGCCAACGGCCUUUCGCGCUAUAGAGAUCCCGCGGCAAAGAAUUUUAUUCGAAAUUCUGGGUAUGCGCAUCUGGAGAUGUUCAUUUUUAACCAGCAGCAAAAGGAUUUUCCGAUUUCAUCUGAAAAUCAUCGAGGAGUUUAGGGUUCUUGGAUUGGAGAUUUCGCAAUUACAAAAUCAUCAAUGAGCUAGGGAUUCUGUCGCAGCAGAUUCGUCAAGGUUUGGGAUUAUACAGCUUUGAGUUUGAAUUUUGUAGGAUGAUGGUAAUGCUCGAUCGAGAUGCUGUACAAGAUGGAGCACACAGUACUUAUGGAAAACUUUUUUUUUUUUGUGUCUAAUAAUUUGUAUGAACUGCUGGUCUUAAGUAGUUAAGUUAUCAGUGCUUCUAGAGAUGAAUCACUCGGUGAAUUUUAAUUACUGAGAUUGCCUAAAUUAGAAUAUUAUAAGUGGUAUUAUUAUGUUGCAAGU
Malania oleifera is the source of this 537-nucleotide long non-coding RNA. RefSeq lists it as uncharacterized. The transcript is spliced from 2 exons. The record is from RefSeq and is a predicted model, not a curated record. Lineage: Eukaryota; Viridiplantae; Streptophyta; Magnoliopsida; Santalales; Ximeniaceae.